Molecule: ribosomal RNA, 390 nt
Filed under: uncultured bacterium
Lineage: Bacteria
Description: bacterial SSU rRNA
Rfam family: Bacterial small subunit ribosomal RNA
Source: RNAcentral
GACGAACGCUGGCGGCGUGCUUAACACAUGCAAGUCGAGCGGUAAGGCCCUUCGGGUACGACGAGCGGCGAACGGGUGAGUAACACGUGGGUGACCUGCCUCUAGCUCUGGGAUAAGCCUGGGAAACUGGGUCGUAAUACCGGAUAUGACUCCACGGCGCAUGUUGUGGGGUGGAAAGCCUUGUGUGGCUAGAGAUGGGCCCGCGGCCUAUCAGCUUGUUGGUGGGGUGAUGGCCUACCAAGGCGACGACGGGUAGCCGGCCUGAGAGGGCGACCGGCCACACUGGGACUGAGACACGGCCCAGACUCCUACGGGAGGCAGCAGUGGGGAAUCUUGCGCAAUGGGCGAAAGCCUGACGCAGCGACGCCGCGUGAGGGAUGACGGCCUGGU